RNAcentral lists this ribosomal RNA (2569 nucleotides) under Klebsiella pneumoniae subsp. pneumoniae. RNAcentral's name for it is "bacterial LSU rRNA". It matches the Rfam family "Bacterial large subunit ribosomal RNA", at positions 1 to 2588 of the family's 2925-position model. The record is from RNAcentral. Lineage: Bacteria; Pseudomonadati; Pseudomonadota; Gammaproteobacteria; Enterobacterales; Enterobacteriaceae.
GGGUUGUGAGGUUAAGCGACUAAGCGUACACGGUGGAUGCCCUGGCAGUCAGAGGCGAUGAAGGACGUGCUAAUCUGCGAAAAGCGUCGGUAAGGUGAUAUGAACCGUUACAGCCGGCGAUGUCCGAAUGGGGAAACCCAGUGCAAUUCGUUGCACUAUCGUUAACUGAAUACAUAGGUUAACGAGGCGAACCGGGGGAACUGAAACAUCUAAGUACCCCGAGGAAAAGAAAUCAACCGAGAUUCCCCCAGUAGCGGCGAGCGAACGGGGAGCAGCCCAGAGUCUGAAUCAGCUUGUGUGUUAGUGGAACGGUCUGGAAAGUCCGACGGUACAGGGUGAUAGUCCCGUACACCAAAAUGCACAGGUUGUGAACUCGAAGAGUAGGGCGGGACACGUGGUAUCCUGUCUGAAUAUGGGGGGACCAUCCUCCAAGGCUAAAUACUCCUGACUGACCGAUAGUGAACCAGUACCGUGAGGGAAAGGCGAAAAGAACCCCGGCGAGGGGAGUGAAAAAGAACCUGAAACCGUGUACGUACAAGCAGUGGGAGCACCUUCGGGUGUGACUGCGUACCUUUUGUAUAAUGGGUCAGCGACUUAUAUUCUGUAGCAAGGUUAACCGUAUAGGGGAGCCGCAGGGAAACCGAGUCUUAACUGGGCGUUAAGUUGCAGGGUAUAGACCCGAAACCCGGUGAUCUAGCCAUGGGCAGGUUGAAGGUUGGGUAACACUAACUGGAGGACCGAACCGACUAAUGUUGAAAAAUUAGCGGAUGACUUGUGGCUGGGGGUGAAAGGCCAAUCAAACCGGGAGAUAGCUGGUUCUCCCCGAAAGCUAUUUAGGUAGCGCCUCGUGAACUCAUCUUCGGGGGUAGAGCACUGUUUCGGCUAGGGGGUCAUCCCGACUUACCAACCCGAUGCAAACUACGAAUACCGAAGAAUGUUAUCACGGGAGACACACGGCGGGUGCUAACGUCCGUCGUGAAGAGGGAAACAACCCAGACCGCCAGCUAAGGUCCCAAAGUCAUGGUUAAGUGGGAAACGAUGUGGGAAGGCACAGACAGCCAGGAUGUUGGCUUAGAAGCAGCCAUCAUUUAAAGAAAGCGUAAUAGCUCACUGGUCGAGUCGGCCUGCGCGGAAGAUGUAACGGGGCUAAACCAUGCACCGAAGCUGCGGCAGCGACACUAUGUGUUGUUGGGUAGGGGAGCGUUCUGUAAGCCUGCGAAGGUGUGCUGUGAGGCAUGCUGGAGGUAUCAGAAGUGCGAAUGCUGACAUAAGUAACGAUAAAGCGGGUGAAAAGCCCGCUCGCCGGAAGACCAAGGGUUCCUGUCCAACGUUAAUCGGGGCAGGGUGAGUCGACCCCUAAGGCGAGGCCGAAAGGCGUAGUCGAUGGGAAACAGGUUAAUAUUCCUGUACUUGGUGUUACUGCGAAGGGGGGACGGAGAAGGCUAUGUUAGCCGGGCGACGGUUGUCCCGGUUUAAGCAUGUAGGCUGGUUAUCCAGGCAAAUCCGGAUAAUCAAGGCUGAGGUGUGAUGACGAGGCACUACGGUGCUGAAGUAACAAAUGCCCUGCUUCCAGGAAAAGCCUCUAAGCAUCAGGUAACAUCAAAUCGUACCCCAAACCGACACAGGUGGUCAGGUAGAGAAUACCAAGGCGCUUGAGAGAACUCGGGUGAAGGAACUAGGCAAAAUGGUGCCGUAACUUCGGGAGAAGGCACGCUGGUGUGUAGGUGAAGUCCCUGCGGAUGGAGCUGAGACCAGUCGAAGAUACCAGCUGGCUGCAACUGUUUAUUAAAAACACAGCACUGUGCAAACACGAAAGUGGACGUAUACGGUGUGACGCCUGCCCGGUGCCGGAAGGUUAAUUGAUGGGGUUAUCCGUAAGGAGAAGCUCUUGAUCGAAGCCCCGGUAAACGGCGGCCGUAACUAUAACGGUCCUAAGGUAGCGAAAUUCCUUGUCGGGUAAGUUCCGACCUGCACGAAUGGCGUAAUGAUGGCCAGGCUGUCUCCACCCGAGACUCAGUGAAAUUGAACUCGCUGUGAAGAUGCAGUGUACCCGCGGCAAGACGGAAAGACCCCGUGAACCUUUACUAUAGCUUGACACUGAACAUUGAGCCUUGAUGUGUAGGAUAGGUGGGAGGCUUUGAAGCGUGGACGCCAGUCUGCGUGGAGCCAACCUUGAAAUACCACCCUUUAAUGUUUGAUGUUCUAACGUUGGCCCCUGACCGGGGUUGCGGACAGUGUCUGGUGGGUAGUUUGACUGGGGCGGUCUCCUCCCAAAGCGUAACGGAGGAGCACGAAGGUUAGCUAAUCCUGGUCGGACAUCAGGAGGUUAGUGCAAUGGCAUAAGCUAGCUUGACUGCGAGCGUGACGGCGCGAGCAGGUGCGAAAGCAGGUCAUAGUGAUCCGGUGGUUCUGAAUGGAAGGGCCAUCGCUCAACGGAUAAAAGGUACUCCGGGGAUAACAGGCUGAUACCGCCCAAGAGUUCAUAUCGACGGCGGUGUUUGGCACCUCGAUGUCGGCUCAUCACAUCCUGGGGCUGAAGUAGGUCCCAAGGGUAUGGCUGUUCGCCAUU